GCUGAGGCCCCACGGAUGGGGACCGGGGCCUAUCAGGUAGUAGUGUGGGGUAACGGCCCACCUACGCCUACGACGGGUACGGGCCCUGAGAGGGGGAGCCCGGAGAUGGGCACUGAGACAAGGGUCUAGGCCCUAAGGGGCGCAGCAGGCGCGAAGAUUCCGCAAUGCCCGAAAGGGCGACGGAGUGAACCCGAGUGCCACCCGCUGAGGGUGGCUGUUCCCCUGUGUAAAAAGCAGGGGGCAGGAAGGGGAGGGCAAGGCUGGUGGCAGCCGCCGCGGUAAAACCAGCUCCCCGAGGGGUUCCCACGCAUACUGGGCCUAAAGCGUCCGUAGCCGGCCCUGUAAGUCUGCAGUUAAAUCCGCCUGUAGACAGGCGGGUUGCUGCAGAUACUGCAGGGCUAGGGAGCGGGAGGAGCCGGGGGUAUUCCCGGGGGAGCGGUAAAAUGCGUAGAUCCCGGGAGGACCACCAGUGGCGAAGGCGCCCGGCUUGAACGCGUCCGACGGUGAGGGACGAAAGCUGGGGGAGCAAACCGGAUUAGAUACCCGGGUAGUCCCAGCCGUAAACGAUGCCGGCUAGGUGCUGGCCAAGGUUUCGGCCUUGGCCAGUGUCGAAGCGAAGGCAUUAAGCCGGCCGCCUGAGGAGUACGGCCGCAAGGCUGAAACUUGAAGGAAUUGACGGGGGGGCACCACAAGGGGUGAAUGCCUGCGGCUUAAUUGGACUCAACGCCGGGAAUCUUACCGGGGGCGACAGCAGGAUGAAGGUCAGGCUGAAGACCUUACCAGACGCGCUGAGGGGUGGUGCAUGGCCGUCGCCAGCUCGUGCCGUGAGGUGUCCUGUUAAGUCAGGCAACGAGCGAGACCCCCGCCCCUAGUUGCCAGCGGCCUCCUUCGGGAGGGACCGGGCAAACUAGGGGGACCGCCUCCGAAGAGGAGGAGGAAGGUGGGGGCUACGGCAGGUCAGUAUGCCCCUAAUUCCCCC
This 979-nucleotide ribosomal RNA is filed under the name uncultured korarchaeote. RNAcentral describes it as "bacterial SSU rRNA". It matches the Rfam family "Archaeal small subunit ribosomal RNA", at positions 193 to 1166 of the family's 1478-position model. Lineage: Archaea; Thermoproteati; Thermoproteota. The record is from RNAcentral.